This 28-nucleotide non-coding RNA is filed under the name Homo sapiens (human). Lineage: Eukaryota; Metazoa; Chordata; Mammalia; Primates; Hominidae. The record is from RNAcentral.
CCAGCAGCUGUGACCUGAAUUGAUGCUC